This 587-nucleotide ribosomal RNA is filed under the name uncultured bacterium. Its description in RNAcentral is "partial 16S ribosomal RNA". It matches the Rfam family "Bacterial small subunit ribosomal RNA", at positions 355 to 1375 of the family's 1533-position model. The record is from RNAcentral.
UGGGGAAUUUUGGACAAUGGGCGAAAGCCUGAUCCAGCAAUGCCGCGUGUGUGAAGAAGGCCUUCGGGUUGUAAAGCACUUUUGUCCGGAAAGAAAUCCUUGGCUCUAAUACGGUCGGGGGAUGACGGUACCGGAAGAAUAAGCACCGGCUAACUACGUGCCUGCAGCCGCGGUAAUACGUAGGGUGCAAGCGUUAAUCGGAAUUACUGGGCGUAAAGCGUGCGCAGGCGGUUUGCUAAGACCGAUGUGAAAUCCCCGGGCUCAACCUGGGAACUGCAUUGGUGACUGGCAGGCUAGAGUAUGGCAGAGGGGGGUAGAAUUCCACGUGUAGCAGUGAAAUGCGUAGAGAUGUGGAGGAAUACCGAUGGCGAAGGCAGCCCCCUGGGCCAAUACUGACGCUCAUGCACGAAAGCGUGGGGGAGCAAACAGGAUUAGAUACCCCUGGUAGUCCACGCCCUAAACGAUGUCAACUAGUUGUUGGGGAUUCAUUUCCUUAGUAACGUAGCUAACGCGUGAAGUUGACCGCCUGGGGAGUACGGUCGCAAGAUUAAAACUUAAAUGAAUUGACGGGGUCAUAGCUGUUUCCU